GUCAGUGCCUAGAGGGGCUGCUUACAAGAAACAUCAAGGAGGUUUUACUGUGAUUGCCAUGUAGGGGGUUGCAGAUCCCUUCAGUCCAGUGGGGCCAGAGACAUAUUCCUGGAUCACUUAUGAGUGGCUGUGGCUCCUUUGUUUCCGUAUUGGUCUAGCUUGAAAAAUGAAAAUAUUAAAUACCAAUAACUUUGUAGUAAAUCUUCUGUACUGAAUACACAGACUGUAAGUUUCUUUCUCUGUCUUUAAUUAAAAAGAAGAACAAAACCCCAGAUAAUCUAUUUUUGAAAGGUCCAGAAAGACUUUACUGAAGAUGGAAUUAGAGCUGUUAUUGUGUUAGAGCAUUAUGUGCACUUGAAAAUUAAAGAGCUGUAGAAAAUUGAUACAGAAAUUGAUCUGUCAUGUCUAAAAUAGCAGAAAAAAAACCCUCAAAAAACAAAAGAAAACAAACCCAAACAACCCCCCCC
This is a long non-coding RNA of Zonotrichia leucophrys gambelii, 467 nucleotides long. RefSeq lists it as uncharacterized. The transcript has 2 exons. Lineage: Eukaryota; Metazoa; Chordata; Aves; Passeriformes; Passerellidae. The record is from RefSeq and is a predicted model, not a curated record.